UGUUUCUAUGCAAAAUAAACCCAAUUUACAGCAUGAUCAUGCAUUUGUGGUACUCCAAGCCUUUCUUCACAGUAAGUAUCUUAAAACUUACUCCUGAUGGAUCACAUUACCUGUCAAGGUACUAGAAGAGGACCUAUAUUUCCUGAAAGCUUUUUAUAGUUUUUUUGUUUGUUUGUUUGCUAGACCUUAGUUUUGCCUAAAUCCACAAGAAUUAGAUUAAGAUAAUUGAAUCCCAAUGCAGCAGUGAGUCACUGGGUUAGAAUGAAUGCAUUUCAGACAUUUGUUAAAUCCUGGUGACUUGACACAGCCCAGAUGGGAUAUAGUGAAAAACUCUCCAUGCCAACGUACUGUGGGAUGAAAGGAACACAUCUAGUGUUGGGGAACAGAGGUGCAUGCUAUAUUGAUUGCUUUUGUGUUCUACAGGUGAAAUCCUGUAUGCAGCAAGCUGAGGUUAAAAUUAGAAGGUACUGUAUUGAACCAACACAUUACCAGAGGUCUCUUGCCAAGUGUUCAGCAAGACGGAAAAUGGGUAGUCAGCCCAAGUCCUCAGUAACACUCCUGCCUGCAAAAGAGAAGGACAAUCAAGGUCACUGAUGUCUCUCCCCUCAUGGAACCUGCUUAGUGAAGAAUGAAGGGAAGCUAAGAUUCCCGCCCUGUUCCUGCCAGCAUGUCCCUCCACUCCUCUGGUUGCAGUGACUCAGCAGAGGGUGCAGUGACUCCUUAGGGUACAGUGGCACCAAUGCACAGACCCUGGACACUGAGGAAACCCCGCAUCAAGAAGAAAAUCCUUGGCUUGUGCACCCAGGUUGAAAACAAGGCACUUCUCCCCGAGAUGUUGGACAACUGCCCCUGCUGAAGCUCUUUCCACAGAUUGACUUACUGGCUUCUGAGGACUGAGAAGGACCAGUGUGAGACCUCAGCAGGAACAAGUAGCAUGAUCAUGGGAGCUUUGAAGAUUUUGCAUUUGGAUGGCUUCUAAAACUCUUUUUUGGAACCUCUUUCCCGCAAACAUGGAUUCCAUUUUAAAAUAAAAAUGUUUUUCUUGUUUGGGUUCACUUUCAA
Molecule: long non-coding RNA, 1062 nt
Organism: Alligator mississippiensis (American alligator)
Lineage: Eukaryota; Metazoa; Chordata; Crocodylia; Alligatoridae
Exons: 2
Source: RefSeq, a predicted model, not a curated record